AUGAACGCUGGCGGCGUGCCUAAUACAUGCAAGUCGAACGAAUCUUCUUCGGAAGAUGAGUGGCGAACGGGUGAGUAAUACAUAGGUAACCUGCCCCUGUGCGGGGGAUAACAGGAGGAAACUCCUGCUAAUACCGCAUAGCCAUGAGCACCGCAUGGAGCUCAUGCCAAAUAUCCUUCAGGGGAUAGCGCAGGGAUGGACCUAUGGCGCAUUAGCUAGUUGGCGGGGCAACGGCCCACCAAGGCAACGAUGCGUAGCCGGCCUGAGAGGGCGGACGGCCACAUUGGGACUGAGACACGGCCCAGACUCCUACGGGAGGCAGCAGUAGGGAAUUUUCGGCAAUGGGGGAAACCCUGACCGAGCAACGCCGCGUGAGCGAAGAAGGCCUUCGGGUCGUAAAGCUCUGUUGUAAAGGAAGAACGUCGCAUGCAGGAAAUGGUGUGCGAGUGACGGUACUUUACCAGAAAGCCACGGCUAACUACGUGCCAGCAGCCGCGGUAAUACGUAGGUGGCGAGCGUUAUCCGGAAUCAUUGGGCGUAAAGAGGGAGCAGGCGGCCGCAAGGGUCUGUGGUGAAAGACCGAAGCUAAACUUCGGUAAGCCAUGGAAACUGGGCGGCUAGAGUGCGGAAGAGGAUCGUGGAAUUCCAUGUGUAGCGGUGAAAUGCGUAGAUAUAUGGAGGAACACCAGUGGCGAAGGCGACGGUCUGGGCCGCAACUGACGCUCAUUCCCGAAAGCGUGGGGAGCAAAUAGGAUUAGAUACCCUAGUAGUCCACGCCGUAAACGAUGGUCACUAAGUGUCGGGGGUCAAACCCCGGUGCUGCAGUCAACGCAAUAAGUGACCCGCCUGAGUAGUACGUUCGCAAGAAUGAAACUCAAAUGAAUUGACGG
This 890-nucleotide ribosomal RNA is filed under the name uncultured bacterium. RNAcentral describes it as "bacterial SSU rRNA". It matches the Rfam family "Bacterial small subunit ribosomal RNA", at positions 29 to 916 of the family's 1533-position model. The record is from RNAcentral.